This 72-nucleotide signal recognition particle RNA is filed under the name Spartobacteria bacterium. RNAcentral's name for it is "partial signal recognition particle sRNA small type". It matches the Rfam family "Bacterial small signal recognition particle RNA", at positions 1 to 73 of the family's 97-position model. Rfam says of the family: The signal recognition particle (SRP) is a universally conserved ribonucleoprotein involved in the co-translational targeting of proteins to membranes. Archaeal SRP consists of a 7S RNA and homologues of the eukaryotic SRP19 and SRP54 proteins. Lineage: Bacteria; Pseudomonadati; Verrucomicrobiota; Spartobacteria. The record is from RNAcentral.
CGUCAGGGGCUAUGGAUCGAGGACUUACGAACCCCGCCAGGGCAGGAAUGCAGCAACGGAAGUUUGAUGCUC